Molecule: ribosomal RNA, 445 nt
Filed under: uncultured bacterium
Lineage: Bacteria
Description: partial 16S ribosomal RNA
Rfam family: Bacterial small subunit ribosomal RNA
Source: RNAcentral
GUGAGGAAUAUUGGACAAUGGGCGCAAGCCUGAUCCAGCCAUGCCGCGUGCAGGAAGACGCAUCUAUGGUGUGUAAACUGCUUUUGUACGGGAAGAAACACUCCCUCGUGAGGGAGCUUGACGGUACCGUAAGAAUAAGGAUCGGCUAACUCCGUGCCAGCAGCCGCGGUAAUACGGAGGAUCCAAGCGUUAUCCGGAAUCAUUGGGUUUAAAGGGUCCGUAGGCGGUUUAAUAAGUCAGUGGUGAAAGACCAUCGCUCAACGAUGGAACGGCCAUUGAUACUGUUAGACUUGAAUUACAAGGAAGUAACUAGAAUAUGUAGUGUAGCGGUGAAAUGCUUAGAUAUUACAUGGAAUACCAAUUGCGAAGGCAGGUUACUACUUGUGGAUUGACGCUGAUGGACGAAAGCGUGGGGAGCGAACAGGAUUAGAUACCCCUGUAGUCC